This is a non-coding RNA of Ciona savignyi (Pacific transparent sea squirt), 47 nucleotides long. Lineage: Eukaryota; Metazoa; Chordata; Ascidiacea; Phlebobranchia; Cionidae. The record is from Rfam.
UAAACUGCCCUUUUUAGGGCAACCCAACCCAUUUUAAAAAGAGAUUG